AAAUAUUAUAACUGAAAGGUGACAACUGCAUUUUCCCUCAUAUGAAGCCCAAUCCCCCUCUGGGACUCUUUGGCAGAGUUGAGAACAUCCACACGGAUAAUCCAAGUAGAAGCGGUCAGUGCACAGCACUAGUCCACCCCAUUAGCUAUGGAGCAACAAUGGUCAUCUCCAGGGUUUCUACACAAGACUCCAGCUCCUGAUGAAUAAGGGAAAAAAUUGUAUCAUUUCUGCUUGGCCUAGGUCUCUGUACCUCCUGAAAAUUUCCAUGGUGUUUGAGUUCUCAUUUUGUGGACUGUAUGGAAUUAAUCAAGCUCUGGCCACUGGUUUAACCACAGACUUGUCUGUACUCUUCUAUGGUUUCCCACAGCAGUGGAGGUGUGCAAUGUCCCUGAUCCAAGGGCUCCUUUCAGGUUGCCUGAAGUCCUUCAAGAUCAAGAAACCGUUUGGAAUUAAGGACACCAAACCUCGUGAGAUAUUUUGUUUUGUUUUUUUAAAACAGAAAAUGAAGGUGGUAAAUCGAAGGCUCAUCUGCAAUGAUGAAGACUAAAACUCCCCCCUGGAGUGAAGCAAGGCUGAGAGACAGAAGAGAGAAUGUCCUGGGUUCCAAUCAGAGAGGAGGACUGUGGUUCAUUGCAGUGGGGCGGACCAAGGGGCUCCCUGGUCCCCUGCUUCCAAGAGCUCCCAUAUCCUGGUAACCAAAUCUCUCCUUCCUUUUAUUUCCAAAAUUCCCCCAAUGGGUUUUCUAUUAUUUGUAGUCAAGAGAAUCCUGACCACAAAUCACAAUACUAAAUAUUUUUGAAAUCCAAAAAGAUAUAAGGAGAGUGUGAGUUUAAUAAUUAUUAACAGCUGGUCUGAGGCUUGAGACUGUGAAAGUAAUAAAGUCAUGAGAGGAUUUCCCUUGAAGUACGUCAGUGCGAGUGGCUCACAUUGUCAUUCAUGCUUUGUCGUCACCCUGUGAGGAUGUGUAUCAUUAGAAGGAUGAGGCUACCACGAAAACAUUUUUUGAAUAAACCAUCUGAAAUCGCCUUCAGCUUCAACAAUGACUUUUCUCCAUAAUAUAAGAAAGGUGAUUGUGCAACACUUAUCGCAGCUCUCACAGCAUUCCUAGGAUAUGGGGAUGUUUUCUCCUAUU
This 1132-nucleotide long non-coding RNA is filed under the name Homo sapiens (human). RNAcentral describes it as "HSALNT0265443". The record is from RNAcentral. Lineage: Eukaryota; Metazoa; Chordata; Mammalia; Primates; Hominidae.